Tympanuchus pallidicinctus (lesser prairie-chicken) is the source of this 2961-nucleotide long non-coding RNA. RefSeq lists it as uncharacterized. Lineage: Eukaryota; Metazoa; Chordata; Aves; Galliformes; Phasianidae. The transcript is spliced from 2 exons. The record is from RefSeq and is a predicted model, not a curated record.
AAAAGGGGCUGCUGGAGGAAAAACAAAUUAGUUUUCAAAUCACUGGGUCUAAGUUCUUCCCAGCAGCUUUCAGAUGCUGCCAGCUCAGACACAAAGAGGAACAGCUGUGAACCAACAAGACUGAGGAUCAGAGACGAGUCCACCGGCUGCUGCAACAUCUCUGGGUUUUCACUGAGAAACUUCUCAUGAGUGAGACACAGGUAGACAAAUGGAAGUCUCUGUGUUGGGACAGGAGCCUCCGAGUGCAUUAGUAGCACUGAAAUGACAUAAUGGAGUUCAGGUGCAGCAUCUUGAUGAGCUCUGUGCAAUGGUCUCGGUGCUCCCAUCUGUAUCGGCAGGGAGCAGGAACUCUUUCUUCAGAUUUAUGUCAGGAAAAGCACUGUCUUAGCCUUCAGUGGAGCCUCUUUGGAGAGGCUUUUAACCCGUGGCUUGGGAGGUGCGUUAAAACCACCAUCUGUAUGUGCUUUACCUCAGGCUGCACAAAACCUUCUGACUUGUGAUCAUGACAAUUAUGAGCCAGUCCUGCAUUUGGAAAACAGUCAGAAGUCCAGCUAUUAAAUGACGUCCCCAAAAAUCUAUUAAAUGUUUCAAGAGUUUUGAGAAAAAUAAGAAGCACCACCACUUCCUACCUAGAUGGAGUGAGAAUCGAGCAUGACUUUGACCAGCAAUGAGAUGGUGAACAUUUCACAGAGAUGACCUUGCUUUGCCAUUGUCUUGAAUGGAAGGAGCCGGAUGAGCCGCCUUGAGGUCAGGCAGGGUGGCAUGCAUUUGGCUGCCAUUUGCCCAUUCAGAGCUCUCCUGCCUGUACGGGUGCAAGCUACCAUCAGUGCAACCAUGCAAUAAUUAGAGAAUUACUGGAUGCAUUUUUGUGGUUGUGACUCGGGAAUGGCAUCAUGCUGGCAUUGUGCCUGAACACUAUGCACUAUUGCUGACACCAGUGCUUGAAUAAAAAGGUUUGCCAUUCCUGCUGCUGAACAUGGGAAGCUUUCCUCCUGCUGUGGGUGACAAAGUAUCAACCUGUACCUUCAUCUUCUGAGCAAACCACUACAAAGCAAAGGGUUUCUCUGUAGUCACUGGACUCGGAACACAUGCAGAGGUGCUGCUAGUGCCAAAGAGACCAUACUGCCAGUCUCCAUGUCACAUCCUCCCAGCAAGCUCAGCCUCCUGCCUUGAGGAGCGACUCAUCAAGGAACCUGUUUGUCCUUUCUUUUGCUCUUGUUGCCCAUGGGAGGCGAUGGUAAUGCCAUUCGUAUUCUGCAUACUGGAAGGUACUGCCACAGAACAGACCAAGCCUGUUUUCUGAGCUUUUCUACCUGCUGAGAUGAAGAAGGGACAGAAUUUCUGCUCUUUCGGGCAGGUUAGGUAUCACUGAGAAAUACAGUGUGCAAGAGCUAACUAUUAUACUCUGCUACCUCACUAAGUUGAGUUUGCCAGGUGCCAAACACCGCUGGAAACCUCCCAGUUCUGUGGAAACUGACAGAGUCUGCAUGCUCCUGACUCUAUUGCAUAUCACAGAAUCAGAACCUUGAGAAAUUGCAGACUCUUAGCACAAAGGCUCCUUGGGACUGUGAAACAUACCACUGAGAAAUGUGAAACAUACCCUUGAGAAAUAUGAAACAGAAAUAAGGACUAGUCAGUGUUAGAGACUGCUGAUUCUGUAAGAGCAUGAUACACAUCACCCCACGAGCUGAAUCAAUGCCGCUGUACCUUGCUCCAUGUCCUUACAGUGCGGCUUUCCUGAGUGAGUCACUAGGAUUGUGAUCCCUGGUUUACAUGCUUCCGAGACCUUGUGCAAUGUUGUCAGGACUGUUAUGCAGUUGGCAGUUGCUUUAUGUGUUUAUUGCAAGAGGUUUAUGAAAAUAAAAUAGUUGUUUUGGACAAAAUAAAUGACAUACAUGCCAGGUUUACUGCUGUAACACAGUAGGUUUGUAGAAGACAGUGGCAUGGGGAAGGGAAGAUUGAACCAGGCACUGGCAUGGUAGCCAGACCUUCAUUCAUUUGUAAUUGCUUUUUGUGCUGUUAUUUCAACCCAUUCUUUUGGUUGUCUACCUGCAAGUGGUAAAGAAAGAGACGACACUGUCAUUGUGCACAUGAACUGAUGUGGUUUUACUGCAUUUGGCCACACACCGAAAUGGGAUAUGCUGGUACAGAGUGCAGCCACAGGUCUCAUCUCUGCUGCUGCUCCCUUCACAAAAGAAUAAUCUCCACAUAAACAGUUUUCCUACCUUGGCUUGAUAAGGUUGCAAUCCUACCUUUUGCUGUUGGUCAGAAUGCAGAGAUUAAAAACACUCAGUUGAUGCAAACGGUGGGCUGAUACAACACACAGAUGGGGUGUAGAUGUGCUUCACACAACAGAGAGCAGAACUGAAGGGGAACAUGUCGCCUGGAGGCAAGACGCCUCUUUAAUUGAUAAUGGCAAGGAAAAUCAAAUACCAUAUUUGCUUUUUCCUGGAGUAUAUUGAGACUGAUCAUAACUAACAUCUGUUCAUGUUAAGCAAAUACUUGUCAUGAUUUAAACUUCUGUUUGCAUACAACUCCGAGUAGUGCAUCUUAAAGUCAUACAUAUUCAUAUAGAAUGAAGAAUGCAUAAUGUCUGCAUAAAAAGAUAAGCUGUAUGACUAUAUAUGAAGACAACAACUACAAUUCUCACAGCACUGUCAUUGGUUAAUUUUAAAAUAUUCAAGCAUUAUUUAAAAAACAGUAAGCUGAACUUAAAACUACACUACGAAAAAUUGUAUAACUGAAACAAUGCUGACUGGAUUUCCUCACUAUUAAUCAACUUUUUUUUUCUUUUUUUCUUUUUCUAACACUUCUGUUAAUUAGUUGUUGUUUUAACCUCCAGUAACAUGAUCAGAUUUCUUCUGCCUCUGGGCAAUUGAGUUAUGCUCUGAUCUCGAGUUCUAAGGGAAAUGUUCAAUUUUGUUUUUUUCCACAGUUGAAUAAACAGUACCAUGUAUACUA